AAUUUUCCUGCUAGAAGUCGUGCCUUUUGAUUGUUUUCUGAUGAAGAUGGUUGAAAAUAUUUGGGAUGCGUUAACGCCUGAUUUUGUACGCAUGACGAAAUCACCAAAAUAACGGGCCAAAAUCACGCUAACGGUUGAUGGAGUAGUUGAUUAUAUAAAACUCACAAAGUACAUUCACACAAACAUAAAUAAAGAGAUAUAAAUAUGAACACAAGAAUUUACGUGGAAACCCAAUUGGAAAAAAACCACGGAGAGAGAGUAAUCCACUAUAAUAAUAUUGAGAGUAAUCCACUAUAAUAAUAUUUGGGUGUACAAGAUGAUAAUAUGGAGAGUACAAGGUGUGUAUUUGUGUUGUAUCUCUUGUGUUCUAUCAUGUUCUGUUAAAACCCUAGCUUGUAGUCAUAUAUAUAGAAGUCACCUCCAUCCGCAUCCAAUUAGGAGAAGGACUCCUUUUGUAGAAUUACCUUAUAACUCCCGAAUCCAAUUAGCAGUAGGAGUCCUAAUUAAACCUCCUUAUCCCACCAAAUAAGAAAAUAGAAUCCUACUUUAAUAAGGACUCUCCACUGUCACAAUAAAUACAUAUGGGCCAUCACCAGAUCCGGACCAUUAAAUAGAUUGGAUUGCACCAUGGCUAGGCCCAAAUAAUCACAUCCCAACAUUGCCCCCCAGUCUCUUAUUUAUAAGUAACUUAUAAAUGAGAGACUAUACAAAUAUACGCCAACAAAACGACCAUAUUUGCCGAAGAGAAAAUAUCACGCCCGAACUCCAUACGCCGAACUAAAAUUGUUGGAGAACCAACCUUAUACCAACCGAAUAUAAAGAACCAACCUUAUACCAACCGAAUAUAGAGAACCAACCUUAUCCCAACCGAACCAACCUUAUACCAACCGAAUAUAGAGAACCAACCUUAUCCCAACUGAACCAACCUUAUACCAACCGAACCAACCUUAUCACAACCGAAGAUAUAAAGAAUCAACCUUAUCACAACAGAAUAUAGAGAACCAACCUUAUACCAACCGAAUAUAAAGAACCAACCUUAUCACAACCGAAUACAGAGAACCAACCUUAUCUCAACCGAACCAACCUUAUCACAACCAAAGAUAGAGAACCAACCUUAUCACAACCAAACCAACCUUAUACCAACCGAAAAUAUAAAGAACCAACCUUAUUACUACCGAACCAACCUUAUCACAACCAAAGAUAGAGAACCAACCUUAUCACAACCAAACCAACCUUAUACCAACCGAAAAUAUAAAGAACCAACCUUAUUACUACCGAACCAACCUUAUCACAACCGAACCAACCUAAUCACUACCGAAGAUAUAAAGAACCAACCUUUUAUAAAGUUCGUUCCAGGGAACUAAACGUAUUCGUUCUAAAGAACUGUACAAAUGUUUACUUUGACCGUUUGGGAGGACGUUGGUCCGUCCCAAAGGAUAUUGUCCGAUUGAGAGGAUGAUGAUCCGUCCCGAAGGAAGUAAUCCGUUCGGGAGGACGAUGGUCCGUUCCGAAGGAAGUAAUCCGUUCGGGAGGACGUUUGUCCGACCUUAUGCCCCCAGUCUCUUAUUUAUAAGAACCUUAUUUAUAAGAGACUAUUCAAAAGGUAUCUAUGAGAUUUUUAUCCUCGGGACUUUUAUCCGCUGGAUUUUUAUCCUCGGGAUUUUAUCUUCGGGAUUUUUAUCCGCUGGAUUUUUAUCCUCGGGAUUUUUUAUCAUUUCGGGAGAUCAAAGCCUUUCUGAAGGACGUUUGUCCGACCUUAUAACCCCUCCAACCUUAUGCCGCCAUAAUAUCCGUCCCGAAGGAUGUAAUCCAUUCGGGAGGACGUUGGUCCAUCCCAAAGGAUAUUGUCCGAUUGAGAGGAUGAUGGUCCGUCCCGAAGGAAGUAAUCCGUUCGGGAGGACGUUGGUCUGUCCCGAAAGAUAUUUGACCGUUCGGGAGGACGAUUGUCCGACCUUAUAACCCCUCCAACCUUAUGCCGCCAUUGUCCCCCAGUCUCUUAUUUAUAAGGAACUUAUUUAUAAGAGACUAUUCAAAAAGUCUCCAUGAGAUUUCUAUCCUCCGGACUUUUAUCCUCGGGAUUUUUAUAUCCUCGGGAUUUUUAUAUCCUCGGGAUUUAUAUCCUCGGGACUUUCAUCCUCGGGAUUUAUAUCAUCGGGAUUUUUAUUCUCGGAAUUUUUAUCCUCGGGCUUUUUAUCCUCGGGACUUAUAUCCUCAGAAUUUAUAUCCUCGGGACUUUUAUCAUCGGGAUUUAUAUCCGUAGAAUGUUCAUCCUUUCGGGAGACCAAAGCCUUCCCGAAGGACGUUUGACCGACCUUAUAACCCCUGCAACCUUAUGCCGCCAUAAUAUCCGUCCCGACCUCUGUGGGAGGCUUUGAUCAGACUUUACAUCUGCCGAAAGUAAAUAGUCAAAGAUAUGAUGAAGCCGAUGUGAUAUAGUCCGAGGCAAACUGCAAUUAUUCGAAGAGGAUUGUUGUUGCCCGAAGUGAGUUGUUGCCCAAAGUGUCACUGAUAACAAAUUUUGACUGUCGAAGUGUGCUAAAAUCUGAGCUCUGAUUCUGACUUUAGUGUCGAAGUUGGAGUUGAUGUCCGAAGUGGCGAAUGUUUCUGGACCUGUUUUCAGGAUGAAGAUUUUUUCAUGAGCUCCUCUAUUUGAGACUGCUGCUUCAAUACUUCGGAGUCCGAACUAUUCUUCUCUUGAUUUAAGUUGCAGAACGAUUAAUUAGCCUCAUCCUUUUAUUACUCCGAAGGGAUGACGAUGGUGAAAUCUGAAGAAUGGUGAGGCUGUUUACACUUGGCCUGUAUUGCCAAGCUCUCCACUUUCUGUUUCUUUAUAAUUCUGACUAACUUUGAGAUCGUCCACCAUACAUAGUUGAUUGCCGCCACAAUCCAUGAGUUAUAAAAGUAGCUCUUUGUUGAAAAGCAAUUAUAUGGGCAUGACCCUGUGAGGUGACUGAUCUCCCAAAGAGCUCCCUCGACUCUUGCAUCUGUUGGUCCAACGUUUGAAGGGUGAUAUAAUUCUCCUCGUCUAAUAUUUGUCUGAAUUGGAUGAGGUAGAACUAAAAUCCUUUUUGUGGGAAGGGGACCUUCGGCUUCGGUGAGAUCCUUUUUAACUGUUCUGGACGACGUUGCCCAUUCCCGGUAUAAGUUGUCAUCCUCUUUGGUUAAUUCAACGAGUUGUUUAUUAAGCUCUUCCUGUUAGAGCAGAAUAGCUCUCCUCUUGUCUUGAACGUCUCGGAGGUGAUACUACCUGUCAAUGUCCGUUGUUUGAUGUGACUGGGAGCGUGUCUCUCCAUGAGAGUUACUGUGUAUCUUAUUCAAUGGGUAUUCGGGCUCGGGGCCACCACCAACCAAAGCAAGUAUACUGCACUGGAAAAGCAUCUGAACCACGCCGAUUCCGCUGCCGGAGUCAAAGUUCUGCCUGAAGAUUUCCCGAAAGGGGUCGCAGUUACAAAUUCGGAAGCCGCGGUCAGCGAGGCAUCUGAGUUGUUGUUGGCGUUGAUCCCUUCAAAGGCUUUAUUGCAUUUCCCUUUUCGUUAACCAAUUCCAUGUAUAACGGAGGAAGCUCGACCUCAAACACAAUUUUGGGUAGAACUGUGGCGAUAUUGCUGGUGGUCACACGGAGAAGCCACAGCCAGAUCGGGGAGAUUAGAGAGAAAUAUGGGGGAAGGAGAACAAUUGUCUGCUGUCCCUUUUUAAUCCUGGCUAAGUCAGAGACUUGAGACUUAACAUCAUGCAUUGUUGCUUGCCACCACCUUUAUUGAAAAGCAAUCACAUGGGCAUAAUCUUAGCUUGAGCAGACAAGGUAACAGUAGGCAUUAAAAAACAUAAGAGGAACAAGUUUUAUAACGUGUUGCAUAUAUAUUUUUUAUUUAAUAAUAAUAAUAGUAAAAAAAAAAUAACUUAGUUUUAUGUGUUGGUUCUCCUUCUUGAUGAAUCGGUGAUUUUAAAUUGACACUAGAAUAAGUGUCUUCUUUCCCACAGACGGCGCCAAUGUUAACGCCUGAUUUUGUACGCCUGACGAAAUCACCAAAAUAACGGGCCAAAAUCGCGCUAACGGUUGAUGGAGUAGUUGAUUAUAUAAAACUCACAAAGUACAUUCACACAAACAUAAAUAAAGAGAUAUAAAUAUGAACACAAGAAUUUACGUGGAAACCCAAUUGGAAAAAAACCACGGAGAGAGAGUAAUCCACUAUAAUAAUAUUUGGGGGUACAAGAUGAUAAUAUGGAGAGUACAAGGUGUGUAUUUGUGUUGUAUCUCUUGUGUUCUAUCAUGUUCUGUUAAAACCCUAGCUUGUAGCCAUAUAUAUAGAAGCCACCUCCAUCCGCAUCCAAUUAGGAGAAGGACUCCUUUUGUAGAAUUACCUUAUAACUCCCGAAUCCAAUUAGCAGUAGGAGUCCUAAUUAAACCUCCUUAUUCCACCAAAUAAGAAAAUAGAAUCCUACUUUAAUAAGGACUCUCCACUGUCACAAUAAAUACAUAUGGGCCAUCACCAGAUCCGGACCAUUAAAUAGAUUGGAUUGCACCAUGGCUAGGCCCAAAUAAUCACAUCCCAACAGGAUGAUUUGGUUGUUGUUUGAAUUUUUAAUUAUGGGUUCGACCUGGUUAAAUAAUUGCUUAGGGAACUAUGCUAUGAUUCCUUGUUAUAGGGCAACUCUUGUUGUUGCUGUAUAGGAGGAUUUUGUGGGUACAUGUCAUAGCUUACAUGAUUUCGAAGAACAUUGAAAUUAGUUGGAAUGGUUUUAAAUAGUUGGGGUUUAUGUGGUGUGGAUUUUGAUGUGUAUGUUUUGGAUAAAGUGAAAUAUUGUUCACUUCUUCAAAGUAUUAGUAUUAUACCUUGUGAUGAGCCUGGAUGCUCAUAUUAACAUUUUAUGCAAUGCUCUAAUUAUUUUUGUCUCAUGGAUGAGCAAGCCGUAACAAUUUAAUUUUCUAAAGUUGACUGUGGUUCCAAGUACUAAGCUAUAUACGUUUUCAGUUAUUCUUGGCCUAUUCAGGGAAGUACAUUUGUAGUGAUAACUGAUUUUUGAAUUUGGAAAGUGUAACUUUUGAGUAAUAAAUGGUGAUAUAUUAAAUAUGUCAUCAACGCAAUUGGUGAAAUGAUAACGCUGUUUUUAUUGAAAUACUUAAGACCAUAAUCACCAUUUAGCUGUGGUAAUCACUGCCUUGUUAUCCCAUUUGAUUUUUUUGCUAACGUUAUUUGUAGAUGUGGUUUUUUUUUUUUUUUAAGUUAUUUAGAGUAGUCAUAUCUUAUGGUAAAAAGUAGGAUUGGUUAUUAUAAUACUCUUAGGCGGGGUUACUAUAAGUUGGAACUUGCAUUUUUGUUCCAAAUUGUAUUAUCCCAAUCACCAAUCUUUAACUUUCCUGAUCCUCUGGAGUAAAUUUCACUUACGUUUUGGAGAAAACAAAGGAGAUGGGCAUAACUUUUAAUACAUAUGUUGAUAACACUUAUUUUUAUAGAGGAUGAAUGAGAUGGGGAGGGAGUUAGUGAGAUAUUCACAUGAAUUUAGGGUUUAUAGCAUCCCAAAUUUCAUUGUCUCAAGGAUUUACCCAACUUUGAGAACCUUUCUUAACUAGGGAUACAACUUAGCUCUCAGCUUCUUUCUCAACUAAAUUACAAAAAGUGCAGUCCCCUUGAUGUGGAGGUUUUAGGACGAAGGAUAAAUAUCACACAGAUAACCUCACACAAAAUUAAAUCAAUUCUAAUUAUUCAAUGUAUCAAAAUAAUGAAGUACAUCCCUAUUUAUAAUGCUCUUAGACAACUUUCCUAACCUAACUUUGACUCUAAUAAGAUAACUACAAAUCAAAUAAGAUAACUGUUGGCAUCCAAAGCAUCUUAUAUUGUUCUAACCAACUUUUACGGGAUCGUCCUACAUCGUUCAAAAUUUUUGAUUUUUUGCCGAACCGGUUGAUACAAGUUUUUUUCGGUACCGGUUUUCGGUAUUUUAACACUUUUCGGUACCGGUACCGGUAAUGACUUUUUUGAAUUCGAUAAUAACCGAAAUACCAAAAAUACCGAAAUUUAAUAAUUUAAUAAUUAAUAGUUAAUGUUUUGUAAUUUUAUAUAUUAAAUAAUUUUUUUUAUAUAUUAAUAAUUUCU
RNAcentral lists this long non-coding RNA (6095 nucleotides) under Panax ginseng (ginseng). RNAcentral's name for it is "long non-coding RNA (PGIN_LNC005799)". The record is from RNAcentral. Lineage: Eukaryota; Viridiplantae; Streptophyta; Magnoliopsida; Apiales; Araliaceae.